This 1502-nucleotide ribosomal RNA is filed under the name uncultured bacterium. RNAcentral's name for it is "bacterial SSU rRNA". It matches the Rfam family "Bacterial small subunit ribosomal RNA". The record is from RNAcentral.
CCCUUANAGUUUGAUCAUGGCUCAGGACGAACGCUGGCGGCGUGCCUAACACAUGNAAGUUGAGCGGAGAUAUAUGGAGCUUGCUUUAUAUAACUUAGCAGCGAACGGGUGAGUAACACGUAGAUAAUCUAUCCUAUACUGGGGGAUAGCCCGAUGAAAGUUGGAUUAAUACCGCAUAUAGCUAUAUAGUUGCAUGAUUAUGUAGUGAAAGAUUUAUUGGUAUAGGAGGAGUCUGCGGCACAUUAGCUAGUAGGUGAGGUAAAGGCUUACCUAGGCGACGAUGUGUAGCCGGUCUGAGAGGAUGAACGGCCACAAUGGAACUGAGACACGGUCCAUACUCCUACGGGAGGCAGCAGUGGGGAAUUUUGCACAAUGGGGGAAACCCUGAUGCAGCAACGCCGCGUGAGUGAAGAAGGUUUUCGGAUUGUAAAGCUCUGUUAGCAGGGAAGAGGAAGGACGGUNCCNUNCAAGAGGAANNCCNCGGCUAAUNUACCGUGCNANCAGCCGCGGUUAAUACGUAGGGUGNCAAGNCNUUGUUCGNAAUAACUUGGGCGCAAANGNAUGNGUAGGCGGUUAAANCAAGUUUAUNUGUUUAAAUAUAUAGGCUUAACCNUGUAGAAAGCAUAUAAAACUGUUUAACUAGAGUGCAGGAGAGGGUAAGUGGAAUUCCUAGUGUAGCGGUGAAAUGCGUAGAGAUUAGGAAGAACACCCAGUGGCGAAGGCGACUUACUGGACUGUAACUGACGCUGAGGCAUGAGAGCAUGGGGAGCAAACAGGAUUAGAUACCCUGGUAGUCCAUGCUGUAAACGAUGGGUACUAGGUGUGGGUUGUGAAUAACAAUUUCGUGCCGUCGCAAACGCAAUAAGUACCCCGCCUGAGGAGUACGAUCGCAAGAUUAAAACUCAAAGGAAUUGACGGGGACCCGCACAAGCAGCGGAGCAUGUGGUUUAAUUCGAAGCAACGCGAAGAACCUUACCUAAACUUGACAUACCUUGAAUUACCUUGUAAUGAGGGAAGCUCGCAAGAGCAAGGAUACAGGUGGUGCAUGGUUGUCGUCAGCUCGUGUCGUGAGAUGUUGGGUUAAGUCCCGCAACGAGCGCAACCCUUGUUGUUAAUUGCUAACAGGUUAAGCUGAGCACUUUAGCGAGACAGCCUAGGUUAACUAGGAGGAAGGUGGGGAUGACGUCAAAUCAUCAUGCCCCUUACGUUUAGGGCUACACACGUGCUACAAUGGUGAGAACAGAGAGAAGCAAGCUAGUGAUAGUGAGCAAAACUUAUAAAACUCAUCUCAGUUCGGAUUGCAGGCUGAAACUCGCCUGUAUGAAGAUGGAGUUGCUAGUAAUCGCGAAUCAGAAUGUCGCGGUGAAUACGUUCCCGGGUCUUGUACACACCGCCCGUCACACCAUGAGAGUUGGCAACACCCGAAACCUGUGGGCUAACCAUAUAGGAGGCNNCAAUCNAAGGUGGGGUCAGUGAUUGGGGUGAAGUCGUAANCAAGGUAA